Molecule: transfer RNA, 72 nt
Filed under: Trichechus manatus latirostris (Florida manatee)
Lineage: Eukaryota; Metazoa; Chordata; Mammalia; Sirenia; Trichechidae
Description: tRNA-Ala (AGC) (tRNA-Ala-AGC-8-1)
Rfam family: tRNA
About the family: Transfer RNA (tRNA) molecules are approximately 80 nucleotides in length. Their secondary structure includes four short double-helical elements and three loops (D, anti-codon, and T loops). Further hydrogen bonds mediate the characteristic L-shaped molecular structure. tRNAs have two regions of fundamental functional importance: the anti-codon, which is responsible for specific mRNA codon recognition, and the 3' end, to which the tRNAs corresponding amino acid is attached (by aminoacyl-tRNA synthetases). tRNAs cope with the degeneracy of the genetic code in two manners: having more than one tRNA (with a specific anti-codon) for a particular amino acid; and 'wobble' base-pairing, i.e. permitting non-standard base-pairing at the 3rd anti-codon position.
Source: Rfam by way of RNAcentral
GGGGAUGUAGCUCAGUGGUAGAACACAUGCUUAGCAUGCAUGAGGUCCUGGGUUUGAUCCCCAGUAUCUCCA